Molecule: long non-coding RNA, 4473 nt
Organism: Neofelis nebulosa (Clouded leopard)
Lineage: Eukaryota; Metazoa; Chordata; Mammalia; Carnivora; Felidae
Exons: 3
Source: RefSeq, a predicted model, not a curated record
GCAGUUAAAUCCCCAUCACCAGGCAAAUGUCUUUCAAAAGGAUCUCUCACAGCAGGUAACUGGGAGGGAGUGAGGGAAGAUGUUGCGUUUUGGAGUCAAACAGACUUGGAACCAUCAUGUGGACGCGAGCUGUUGCCUAUUUUAAGCACUUCAUUUUCUGGAUUGGAAAAAACUUCAGGGUUUUUGCUUUAAAAACAUUCAAAGUGGGGUAGCAAAAUAUUGACCCGAAAGGCCAGAAGAAGAGACCUUAUUUAGGACUUGCUCGGAAUUACAAUUUUACUCUUCUUGGAGGAAAGUGACCCAAAGCAUUUUUACUGGAGGUGACAAAAUUUCCUGAGUAAGAAAUGUACUGACUUCUAGAUGAUGCUUAUUCCCGAGUAAGAAAUCCACUAACUUCUAGAUGUUUAUUCCCUACCAGGUUUGCACAUCAUAAAAUCUGACCUGGGCCACUUGGUGAAGGGUGGCUCUUGGGAAAGAGGAAUUCACUCGUUCCAUCCUCAAGAGGAUAUUUGUUAUCUAGAACGAACACUAAUGGAAAGUGUGUCACCUCAGAGAUCUGAUCUAGGUUUGGCUUCUAUUUCGCUCGUUUAUAACAUAUCAGAACUAGGUGGCUCAGGACUAACUAUGAUUGGGAAGUUUGGAAAAAUUUUUUUCUUUUUGGGAACUGAUGGAUUUGAAAGUCAGGACUUGGGCGUUGGUUGGAGUUAGCUCAGGGUUUCUAGAAUUCUGUUUCCUGGCUUUCAUCAACAAGUUGUGCCUUGAGUCAUCUUGUCACUGGGGGGGGGGGGGGGGCUGGUUGCACCAAUGUCAAAAGAUGUUAGAAGGAGUGAGUGUCACAUCCUGGGAUGAAGUCAUUUAGGCUGGUGACAUUCUCAGUAGGGUCAGUAGGAAUGAAAAAGUGGGAAAGAAAGUCAUGUCAAGGAUGUCUUGAGCAAGGGAAUAGAGUCGAGUCAGUAAACAGCAAUGGAAAGCAUAGGCUGUAAGGGUGCAAGCCACCUUCUCCAUUGUCCUGGGCUUGCUGCUCUUGCGGGUGAACUUUGGCAUCAAUCAAGCAACUAAAUGACAUUGAACAAGUUUCUGAAGGUACCCAGCGGGAACCCUGUCAAGACCCACAUCCGGCAGUUAAUUUCCUACCAACCUUAAUUACAAGUGUUAGUUAGUAUAAAAUGUAUGGAAAAGAGACAUAAGACACCCUUUGGGGUCUACAGCUGUCUUAUUUCUAUUUUAGAGAAUAAUUACAUGAAUGCUCACCAUCUAAAAUGGACUUUGGAAGGUUCUGUACCAAAGCCCAGGAUUGAGCUUUCUGCUUUCUGUGAGGGAAAGCUUGGAGACUUGUGUUCUAAGUAGUUCUUCCUUUUAACUGAGCUCAGAGACAGUGGCUCACAGGGCAAUGGCCGAGCAUUAAAUCUAGUCUCUUCUAAAAAGCAUUUAAAGCGGUAGUAACGUGACAUACGAGGGGCCACAGUGAGGCCCGUCCUGGUUUUGGGGGUACGUAGGAACUGGUGAUCUAUGGAGGAGAAAAAUAGGGCACUGAAAGAAAACAAGACUCCAGGCUCCUUCCUCAUAUUCCUGGCUGUGUCUGUCAUAGAUCUGCUGGCACGUUUUGUUUUGGGGACAAAGGACAGCACUGUUUAAUCCUUCUGUCCAUGCCAAACUCCAAAGGGGAUAAUUACAUUCUGCCUCCUGAAAUUCCCUUUGCAAUUUCAUCUGGGUGAAGCACUCUCAAUUGCCUGGGGUGUUGCUGAUCCUGGGAAACAGCCGCCAUGUUUUAUCCCCAGCUAGGUAUUUCAGUCAUGGCCAAGGUGAAUAGUGCACAGUUUGAUUUUGGCUCCAGUGUAUAAAUUAGACCGGGUUCUUUUGCAGUAAAAUGCACUGAGCAGGGUGGCAAAUGUCAGCUCACUGGAGCAUUAUGUGUCUGUCCCCUGUGCAAAACUGUUUUAAUUGUGCCUGAAGAGUACAGUCGAUUGGCUAAUGUUGUUUUUAAGAAAAGAAAUUAUUCUGGAGUUUUUUUUGUUUUUUUGUUUUUUGACCGGUAAAUGCAGUGCCAGAUAAUGUUUUUGUGUUCAGGUGAAAAAUCCAGUUCGGUUAUGUUAUUUGGGCCCCACUAGAAUCAUUAAAAACAGUUGGAUUUCUAUACGUAAGACCCAAAGUAAUUCAGUUUGGUUUUCUGACAAGUAAUUAUUUUUUUCUAAAUAGCACUGAUAGUAAUGUCAUUGUAAAUGGGAUAAAAAGGUUAUUAGGGAAAGAUUAUAUAUGCUUGUUUAAAUUCCUAGAUCAGAUCUUCGUAAUGUCAGGAAAAUCAUCCAAGUUUGUUAGAAUGAAAUCCAGGUGCAAUGUUCUAUCAUUUCUCUGAAGUUUUGGAGAAACAGAUACUAAGAUGAUAAUUUCAAUUCCCCGCGGGAAUGAAGAAAACCUGGACAAGAUGUUGGUUUUAAUAAUGGUAUUUCAAGCUGUUCCUAAGCUUAAUUGUGGUAUGGAGUAACACUGUAGUCAUGGAGUGGUGUAUUUAAAACCCACCAAGAGGUUUCAGCCUGAGAGCGGAACCAACGAAAGGGAAUCAUUAACCACAGAAGUGACUGAAGUGGUUUAAUAAUUAUGUUAUUUCAAGGGGGAAAAAAAAAAAAAGAUCUGCCUCAAGUAUAAAGGGGAAAAGAAGGCCUGAUAAAUAGAACUUAUUUCUACCCUAGGUAGUCAGCUAGUGAGACUACCAGUGGGAAAGGUCUAUUAACUAAUUGAUCUGCUAGACUCGAUAGGGAAGUCCAGCUGGAGAUCAAAGAACAUUCUCUGCUACAAAGGCAAGCGGCAACCUUGGACCAGAUGUUUUCCUUCCAGCUCUGUCAUGCUUGAUAACUGUAGAGUGUGGCUGAAUCUGGCCAUAGGCCUCGUCCAUCCGACCACUGAUAUGGAAAGCAAGGGGAUGUGUGUGCACGCACACGCGUGAAAAAGAGGCAAGAGAGCUUCGAAGUCAAAAAGGUUCCGCAUUUAAGAUUAGGUUGGGAGCCAAGCAAUUUUUUUCAAACUUAUUUGCAAAGUGAAGCAGAGCAAAGAAUGCCACUGUCAACUUUUAAAAAGACAUGGGCAAACUGUAUCACCUGGAUAGAACCAAAGAACUUUUAAAGACUGAAGAGUAAGGUAAUGUGGAUCCUGAGCCUAAAGAAAAGAGCUGGAGGUAACCCCAGGCUUCCAUAGCAAAUGCUGAGAUCCAGUCUACUCUAUGGAGUCAUCAGAGGGGAUGAGCUGGACAAGAAUUUUCCUCAUCUUUUCCUCUCAAGGCAUAAAGGCUGAGACAGAUCUCGUUUGCAGCCAGAAAGAGGGCAAUGUGUGGGGAAACUUGGCUUGGAUCUUGGAUCUUGAAGAGGGCAACUAUUCAUCACUUGGGCUGUGGUUACAGAAGACUUUUCCUGAGGGUCGACAAGGGGACAGGUGAGGAGAAGGUUCUGAUGGAGCCAUUUACCUCAUUGUGCUUGGGUCAAGGGCUUUUAAUUAUCUGUGUGCAGUGAAGAAAACUGUUCUCAGUAGCUUGGCGUGGGGGAGUGACUGCCUGUCUGAAAGCUGGGUUCUGGGGUGGAGCCCAAGCUUGUUCAAGCUUAGUUCACCAAGAAAGCAGUGGGGGUUGUCGUUCUGAUGUCGUUCAAGACCGCCACACCUCAUCUCUGCCUAUAACAGAAUCGCAGGUGUUAACACUGGAGUGACUAAUGAUUGUGACCUCAUUAAAAGAGAAAGGAUAUUACCUCCCGCUGAUUAGAGGGGAUGGUAGUCCUGGCUUAGUCACAGCGCAGACAGGCAUGGUUGGGUCUGUCCCUCAUUUAUCUCCUUCUGGUUUUUAAAUUGCCAGCAGAGGAGAUUUGUGGAAAACCUGUGUGAUUUCUCCUCCUCUCGGGGAAAUCAUCUGGUCCACCCUCCUUUGAGGCACCCACUCCAGGCUAAUCGCAUUAGCAGUCAGACAGGAUUACUGGAGACCUUGUUUCUUGGAGUCGUCUUUCUUUAUAAGAGCAAAUAAUGUACAGCUUGGGUGCAUUUUGUUCUCCCUGUGUUGUCAGUUAACUUUGAUUUUAAACACUUUUGUAGAGUGGAAGCCCGGAAUGAUGUAGAAUAACAACCACAGAAGGACUUCAGUGUCGGCUCGUCAGUUGCAUGUCUCUUUUAUGUGCAGCAACUGCUGGUGAAUCCCAGCUAGGUCUGCGAGGUCCCUGAUCUUGACUUCUAUGCCUCACAACCAAAGCUAUUGCCUGUCUUUUUCAACUUUUAUUGCUCUUAAUUAUUCUUACUGACCUCUCCACCAAUCAAAUGGAUGAUGAGGGAUAUCUAGAGAUUCAUGUGUCUAUCUAUCAAAGACUGUAACCUAUGUUGGGACUUCAUUUAACUUGUCUACGUCUUAAGCUUCUGAGAGACAGACCUAACAGUCCCUUAGUAAAGUUUUACCAAUGGGCAUACUAGAGGAAACCAAUCUAUGUCUUUCUCUGUAAAGCAUAU